Molecule: long non-coding RNA, 178 nt
Organism: Malaclemys terrapin pileata
Lineage: Eukaryota; Metazoa; Chordata; Testudines; Emydidae
Exons: 3
Source: RefSeq, a predicted model, not a curated record
CAAUGGGGAGGCCUAGAUGCUAGCCCCACAUGAGAGAGGGAAGGAUUUCAGGCCCAAGGCCCAAGUGGGGCAGGAAGAAGCACACGCUCACCUCAGUUGCCUUCUUUGCUGAGGGCGCACUGUCCAGCACGCCGGCAGACAGACCCAGAUCAGAAGGCCUGGACUUGGUACGUGAACG